RNAcentral lists this ribosomal RNA (171 nucleotides) under uncultured bacterium. Its description in RNAcentral is "partial 16S ribosomal RNA". It matches the Rfam family "Bacterial small subunit ribosomal RNA", at positions 1322 to 1500 of the family's 1533-position model. The record is from RNAcentral.
GAAGUUGGAUUCGCUAGUAAUCGCGCAUCAGCCAUGGCGCGGUGAAUACGUUCCCGGGCCUUGUACACACCGCCCGUCAAGCCAUGGGAGCUGGGGGUGCCUGAAGUUCGUGACCGCAAGGAGCGUCCUAAGGUAAAACCGGUGACUGGGGCUAAGUCGUAACAAGGUAAC